UGAGGAAUAUUGCGCAAUGGGGGAAACCCUGACGCCGCAACGCCGCGUGAGUGAGGAAGGUUUUCGGACCGUAAAGCUCUGUCGAGCGGGAAGAAAUGCAUGGUGGCUAAUAUCCAUCAUGCUUGACGGUACCGCUAAAGGAAGCACCGGCUAACUCCGUGCCAGCAGCCGCGGUAAUACGGUGGGGGCGAGCGUUGUUCGGAAUUAUUGGGCGUAAAGAGCGUGUAGGCGGCUGAAUAAGUCAGAUGUGAAAUCCCUGGGCUUAACCCAGGACGUGCAUUUGAAACUAUUCGGCUAGAGUAGGGGAGAGGAAAGUGGAAUUUCUGGUGUAGAGGUGAAAUUCGUAGAUAUCAGGAGGAACACCGGUGGCGAAGGCGACUUUCUUGCCCUAUACUGACGCUGAGACGCGAGAGCGUGGGUAGCAAACA
Molecule: ribosomal RNA, 428 nt
Filed under: uncultured prokaryote
Description: bacterial SSU rRNA
Rfam family: Bacterial small subunit ribosomal RNA
Source: RNAcentral